AAGAAAUUAGUUAAAACAAUAACAUUAACUUGUCAUGUUAAAAUUAUCUAUUUAUAGAUAUUUCUUG
Molecule: transfer RNA, 67 nt
Filed under: Thalamita crenata
Lineage: Eukaryota; Metazoa; Arthropoda; Malacostraca; Decapoda; Portunidae
Description: tRNA-Asp
Source: RNAcentral